ACGAACGCUGGCGGCAUGCCUAACACAUGCAAGUCGAACGAGACCUUCGGGUCUAGUGGCGCACGGGUGCGUAACGCGUGGGAAUCUGCCCUUGGGUACGGAACAACAGUUAGAAAUGACUGCUAAUACCGUAUAAUGACUUCGGUCCAAAGAUUUAUCGCCCAGGGAUGAGCCCGCGUAGGAUUAGCUUGUUGGUGAGGUAAAGGCUCACCAAGGCGACGAUCCUUAGCUGGUCNGAGAGGAUGAUCAGCCACACUGGGACUGAGACACGGCCCAGACUCCUACGGGAGGCAGCAGUGGGGAAUAUUGGACAAUGGGCGCAAGCCUGAUCCAGCGAUGCCGCGUGUGUGAAGAAGGCCUGCGGGUUGUAAAGCACUUUCAGUAGGGAAGAAAGACCGAGUGCUAAUAUCACUCGGUCUUGACGUUACUUCAGAAGAAGCACCGGCUAACUCCGUGCCAGCAGCCGCU
This 468-nucleotide ribosomal RNA is filed under the name uncultured bacterium. RNAcentral's name for it is "bacterial SSU rRNA". It matches the Rfam family "Bacterial small subunit ribosomal RNA", at positions 29 to 519 of the family's 1533-position model. The record is from RNAcentral.